Molecule: long non-coding RNA, 1824 nt
Organism: Anser cygnoides (Swan goose)
Lineage: Eukaryota; Metazoa; Chordata; Aves; Anseriformes; Anatidae
Source: Ensembl
AUCUCUGCCUAGGGUUAGUAUUUCGCACGCUCUGAUUGAAUUAGGGCACUAAUCCACCAGUGGGGUUGCCCGCAAAAAAUUCUUCAAGACCUUUGCUAUAUGUUAUCAGGAAAAUAAAUAAUAAAUCUCUGCUUCUCACAGAGAUGGGGAUUGGUUUUAUUAGGUCAGGAUGUAUUCAAAAUUAAAAUACGGUGCCAUAUUAUCAAGUUAAAUCCAAGAGUGACAAAAACAUGCCAUCCUGAAGUUUCAUACCAAGAGGUAUCAAUGGCAGAUUCUUCUUUUCCCUUCUCACCUACCCCUUGCGUUUGAUAGCCUCAUGGCUAGCACAUACGGCUAGGAAACAGAAGACCCAGCCUCAGUUUCCAACACUGAGCCCCAGGUAAUUCAAAUCAGCGCCCUAGGGGCACACCAGUCACUAAGCACAGGUUAAUUUGCUCCUCCCUGCUCCUGUUAGUGAGGCCAUGCUGUGCACUGCGAUCCACCCCGCUUCAGAUCCACCCUGCUGUGACAGCUUUGUUCCGCAACGUAUUCCUGCAUUUCUUCAGUGGUUGUUGAAAGUGGGAGAAAACCGGUCAUCUGGGAGCCAAAGUGUGCAUCCAGGCCUCUCCACCCCUGUGCGAGCAGCCAGCUCACCAAACGAGGAUCCCCCUGGUUCUCCUUCUGAACUCGUGUGUCUUAAACUUCUGUCAGCACAGCAGACUUGCUUCCACAGGUUGGGUAUAAAAUAUUUCCUGCUCAGCUUAUGGCAUCGUGCUUUGAGCAUUUUGCUGUACUUAGCAUCCAUAUGUAAUAUAUUUUUCAAAACAGUUUUUCAGGGAAGGUGAGUGAAUGUGUGUGUUCUUAACCUCACUCAAUGGACAAAAUGGACUCCAGGUUUUGCAUCUCAUUUAUCCACAAUAAUAGUGAUGAAGUCAAAAAUCCAAUUAAAGAUUUUUAUUUAUUUAUUUUUUUUAAGUAAGGUCCAUUCGCAAUCAAAAACUGCAACUAGUAGUUGUUCUGACGCAAUCACUGUUCCCUAAAAAAAUGGAUCGUUACCUGACCACAGGCAUCUCCAGAACUUCUCAGCAAUAUCUGAACUUUACUGUAGUUGGAUGAUGCUCUUGAAUGUUCUGAGGAAACAGCAGUAGAUGGGGGGGGUUGUUUUAUUGAAUUUGAAAAACAAGCAUCUCAACUAAAUGUAUUUUAUAUUUAAUUAAUUUCAAAAGUUGUAACUCUUAUUUUCUAAUUCAGAUCUCAAGGAUUAAUGUAUUUUUCAACUCAGAUAUUAUCAGACAGCGUUAAAGUAAUAUUUCUUCUCCUUGGUAAGCACAAAACAAAAUUAAAGAAAUUCCCAAAACACAGUCAAUGCUCUACCUGAGGGUUGAAUAACGAGGCCCCAACUUUACACACAAAAGGCUCGCUGCCACCAGAGGGGCACAUUGCCUAACCCCACUCAGUUCCCUCACUCCUGCGCACAAGCAGAAACCUCACUGCCAAGCUGAUUUUGGUAUCUUUAUACCAUGCUGACGUUCAAAAUGCUGAAAGCUUUUUCAUCUCCGGUGUACUGAAAAUGCAUCUGGUUCUAUAAAAAAUGGUAUUCUGUAACACAACUGGUUAAAAUCUUUAGGACAACUUAUAAUCAGAGAACGUAAAUAUUUCAAACUGAUUAGGGGAAGGCAACGUCUAUAGUUUGUUUUCUUUAAGAGUUUCUUCUGCUACAAAAUUGGAAAACAAACAAGCAACAACCAAACCAUAAAGACAUUACAAAAUAGCAAACAAUAUUCAGACAGGAACUUCAAAACAAUCAGGAAGCAUUAAGCAGUGCAGUACUAGCCUCCUAAUGAC